GACGAGCUCUCCAAACGUUAUUCGGUAUUACUGGGCUUAAAGAGUUCGUAGGCGGCUUUGCAGGUGAGGUGUGAAAGCCCUCGGCUUAACCGAGGAAUUGCGCUUCAAACCGCAGGGCUUGAGGGAGACAGGGGUAAGCGGAACAGAUGGUGGAGCGGUGAAAUGCGUUGAUAUCAUCUGGAACACCGGUGGCGAAAGCGGCUUACUGGGUCUUUUCUGACGCUGAGGAACGAAAGCUAGGGUAGCGAAC
This 250-nucleotide ribosomal RNA is filed under the name uncultured bacterium. RNAcentral's name for it is "partial 16S ribosomal RNA". It matches the Rfam family "Bacterial small subunit ribosomal RNA", at positions 524 to 773 of the family's 1533-position model. The record is from RNAcentral.